GGGGGGGAAUGGGCAUGGGGACGGGGCGGGGGCGGGGACCGACAGCAACUACAGAAACGGAGCCGGCCGCCAACAACAGCGACGGAAUAUAACGAGAAACGACCGAAAACCAAUAGCUAUAAAGCGCAAAGAUACUGAGAUACUUGCACUCUGCGCAACGGCCCCAGAUACAGAUACAACACACCGAUUCAGAUUCAGAUACAGCCACAGAUACACAGCAGCCACGGAUUCUUGGCAACGCCAUCGGGGCGAAACACACAUACUGAUUUUACAUAUACUAUGCGCAUUGUACUUGGCAUUAAAUUAAUAACUAUUUGGAAAAUGCUCAACUUGGAGGGAAAAUCUAAAAGACAGAUUUCUUUUACUACGCCACUAUAAUUUUUGUUAUUAUUUUAAACGUUUUUACUUUAAGGAAAUUAUGUUUAUACAACCCUUGAUUAUAUUUUAACUUAAAAAUUCAGAAAUAUGGAAAUAAAAUACUUGUCACUUUAUGUUUUUACCAAAAACAUAGCUUUAUUAA
Drosophila kikkawai is the source of this 520-nucleotide non-coding RNA. The record is from RefSeq and is a predicted model, not a curated record. NCBI's taxonomy places the organism in Eukaryota, Metazoa, Arthropoda, Insecta, Diptera, Drosophilidae.